AUUUGUACUAUUCUAAAUAUAUCUAUAAUACUAAAAUUACGAGGUCCAAUUAGUCAGCCGUCAUCACGUAAAAACGACGAAUCAAAGAAUUCAACUUUAUAUACAACUAAUAUAGUACAAAGGUGUAGAUUAAAAAUUACACCACUCCAGGCCCUUUUGUUUUCCACGUAAUUAAUAUUGCCAAUAAUUAGGAAGUUCCGGGUCGAGUCCGAUACC
This 216-nucleotide long non-coding RNA is filed under the name Mytilus galloprovincialis (Mediterranean mussel). The record is from RNAcentral. Lineage: Eukaryota; Metazoa; Mollusca; Bivalvia; Mytilida; Mytilidae.